RNAcentral lists this ribosomal RNA (497 nucleotides) under uncultured bacterium. Its description in RNAcentral is "partial 16S ribosomal RNA". It matches the Rfam family "Bacterial small subunit ribosomal RNA", at positions 28 to 507 of the family's 1533-position model. The record is from RNAcentral.
GAUGAACGCUGGCGGCGUGCCUAAUACAUGCAAGUCGAGUGAACGGACGAGAAGCUUGCUUCUCUGAUGUUAGCGGCGGACGGGUGAGUAACACGUGGAUAACCUACCUAUAAGACUGGGAUAACUUCGGGAAACCGGGGCUAAUACCGGAUAAUAUUUUGAACCGCAUGGUUCAAAAGUGAAAGACGGUCUUGCUGUCACUUAUAGAUGGAUCCGCGCUGCAUUAGCUAGUUGGUAAGGUAACGGCUUACCAAGGCAACGAUGCAUAGCCGACCUGAGAGGGUGAUCGGCCACACUGGAACUGAGACACGGUCCAGACUCCUACGGGAGGCAGCAGUAGGAAAUCUUCCGCAAUGGGCGAAAGCCUGACGGAGCAACGCCGCGUGAGUGAUGAAGGUCUUCGGAUCGUAAAACUCUGUUAUUAGGGAAGAACAUAUGUGUAAGUAACUGUGCACAUCUUGACGGUACCUAAUCAGAAAGCCACGGCUAACUACGUG